AUGAGACAGAGCAGCAUCAAUGGGCUCCACAAAGUCAUUGAUGACACCAAUAUCAGUGGCUGAAGCUGCAGACAGAGAUAAAAGCCCUCAAGGAGGAGCUGCUCUUCAUGAAGAAGAACCAUGAGGAAGAAGUAAAAGGCCUACAAGCCCAGAUUGCCAGUUCUGGGUUGACCAUGGAGGUAGAUGCCCCCAAAUCUCAGGACCUCAGCAGGAUCAUAGCAGACAUCUGGGCCCAGUAUGACAAGCUGGCUCAUAAGAACCGAGAGGAGCUGGACAAGUACUGGUCCCAGCAGAUCGAGGAGAGCACCACAAUGUUCACCAUGCAGUCCUCCGAGAUCAGAGUUGCAGAGAUGACAUCCACAGAGCUGAGACGUACAGUACAGUCCUUGGAGAUCAACCUGAACUUGAUAAGAAACCUGAAGGCCAGCUUGGAGAACAGCUUGAGGGAGGUGAAGGCCCACUAGCCCAUGUAGAUGGAGCAGCUCAUCAACAGGGCCUUGCUGCACCUGGAGUCCGAAUCGGUACUGAUCCAGGCAGAGGCCCUGCUGAACAUCAAGGCCAAGCUGGAGGCUGAGAUCACCACCUACCACUGCCUGCUGGAGAGGACUUCAGUAUCAAUAAUGCCCUGGACAACAGCAGCUCCAUUCAGACCAUCCAAAAGACCACCACUCACAGGACAGUGGACAGCAAAGUGGUGUCUGAGACCAAUGACACCAAAGUUCUGAGGCACUGAGGUGGCAGGAACAGGGUACCCUUUGGGGGAGCAGGAGGCCAAUAAAAAGUUCAAAGGACAAAAAAA
This is an RNA transcript of Carlito syrichta (Philippine tarsier), 799 nucleotides long. It is a transcript of the gene named keratin, type I cytoskeletal 18 pseudogene, with no coding region annotated. Lineage: Eukaryota; Metazoa; Chordata; Mammalia; Primates; Tarsiidae. The transcript has a single exon. The record is from RefSeq and is a predicted model, not a curated record.